This 276-nucleotide ribosomal RNA is filed under the name uncultured bacterium. RNAcentral describes it as "partial 16S ribosomal RNA". It matches the Rfam family "Bacterial small subunit ribosomal RNA", at positions 15 to 275 of the family's 1533-position model. The record is from RNAcentral.
GAUCAUGGCUCAGGACGAACGCUGGCGGCGUGCCUAACACAUGCAAGUCGAACGGAGAUAUUUAUUUCGGUAGAUAUCUUAGUGGCGCACGGGUGAGUAACGCGUGAAUAACCUGACCCGAAGAGGGGGAUAACACCUGGAAACAAGUGCUAAUACCGCAUAAGACCACGGACCGGCAUCGGUCAGAGGUCAAAGGAGAAAUACCGCUUUGGUAGGGGGUUCGGGUCGUCCCACCUUAGUUAGGUUGGUUGGUAGGUAACGGGACCCGACCCAACG